RNAcentral lists this long non-coding RNA (10145 nucleotides) under Theobroma cacao (cacao). Its description in RNAcentral is "long non-coding RNA (TCAC_LNC004268)". The record is from RNAcentral. Lineage: Eukaryota; Viridiplantae; Streptophyta; Magnoliopsida; Malvales; Malvaceae.
CAUCUGUCUGGUGGUGUUAAAGCCACCAAGAAAGGUUGCCCUGAUAACUCAAGCCUAAGAACUAACUCUUGAAACUCCUCAUUUUGUAAUGUAAUCUGGCUUCUAAAUGCACAAAACACCACAAAACUUGGCUCAAAGUUGCUUAGCCAAUUAGCCCAUUUGUCUUCAAGCUGUGUGGCAUUUGUUUCAGGGAGGCAAGGCCCUGUUAGCAUAACAGGCUUUCCAAAAUGUUAAGCAACAUAGUCACAGAAAGGUCCCUCAAUUUCACGCUGAGCCCUAUAGGCUAUGGCAUCACUGCCAUUCAUGUCCGAUCCUGAAAUGACAAUCCUAUUCCAAAGAUUUUUUGCACAAUUUUCAGAAUGAAAACCUCUUCAGCUUUGAGUUUCACCUUGGAAGAAGGAUAACCAAGAGGAGCUUCUAUCAACUUUUCUAUAGUCAUUUUCGUUGCAACUUUCUUUGUCGACAUAUGCGCAUUUGCGGCUGCAGUCAUUGCGGCAUAGUAAAUUGACUUGAUGCCGAUUUGGUGAGCCAAGGCUGGAAUCUAAUACCUCAAAUCAUGGAAAACUAUAUCAGGCUUUAUAUCCCUUAUAAUGGCUUCAACUUGAUCCAGUUUGUCCUCGCUUAGGUUGUGGCAAGACGACAAUUUGUUUCACAUGAGGGGGGAUGUCCCACUCACUAGGAUGCCCUACUGGGUGAAUAGACCCCGCAUAACCCUCCACCAAAAUAGUUAUUUUGUAGUAGUCAGCGCAGAAUUCAAUGGUUUCACGUUUGCAUUUACUGAAAAAUUCAAUGAACUCAAUAUUCAAGCACAAUGUAAAUACUAUGUCAAUUAAGGUUCAAAUAAGAAAUAAAGAUAUUCUGACCUUAUUGUUGCAAUGGCAUGGCUGCAUGGUAGUAAAUCUGUUUGGAACUCACAACAUGAACACGUCUUCCUAGACAGGUUUACAAGUCCGUCCAUCUUCCCAUCUUUAACUUCGAACUCCAUUCGAUUGAUAGGUUUAACCACAAAGCAAUGUGCAUCAUUGAACCGUUUGCUCAACUGCUUGGCAACCCAAGGGUUGAGAGGCGUGGUCACCUUGACGGCUUCCUCGUACCAGUCAUGGAACCAACGCUAGAACAUGUCUCUGAUGAACUCGAACAAAAUAGUUGUUAGCAUUUAUCUUGCAUGCUUCAAGCAUGAGUUAACACAUUCCGCAAUGUUGGAUGUCAUCAUUUGGUAUCGCCUUGCUGGUGAACAGGCAUGUGCCCAUCUCUCAGGGCCUAUUUUCAUAAGGUCUGCGUGGGCUCCCGCGUGAAUCUGCUUAAGCUGGUUCAUAUGUUUGUUGAAAUUGAAAACCUUAUAGCAAUCUCGAGCAAGGGUAAAAAUCAUAGAAAUGUCGUCGCGCUUGAACUUGUUUUUAAAGUUUUUCUUCAAGUGGUACCCGCAUAAACCGUGGUGUGCUUCUAGGUAUACAUUUUGGAUUGCUUUCUUAAUGUCGAGAUGUUGAUAAGAAAUGAACAUAGUGUUUUCAAGACAAACAACCGCAUCACGCAGCUUGCUAAGAAACCACAUCCACGAGUCUUCGUCCUCAACAUGGCCAAUGCCAAAUGCAACUAGAUAUAUGCACUUGUUCGCAUCUUUGCAUACAGCAACAAACAGAACACCCUUGAACCUACCUUUUAGAUGUGUCGUAUCAAUUGCAACCAUAGGACGCAUUACAUCCCUAAACCCCUGAAUACAAGCCCCGUAUGCCCAGAAAUAAUAUUUGAAUAUUUCUGCCUCAUCAGUAACUGUGUCGGGAUUUUCUUGUUCUAGCAUAUAAAAAUACGAGGGUAGUAGUUGAAAUGACUCCUCUGGGGGAUCGAAAAUAAGCCUCUUCGCAUACUCCUUCGCUUGCUCGGCCUUACCAUACAAGCAUUCCAAUCCCCACUGAACCUUUAUCUCACUAAUUAUGUCCUUAGGUCUCAAUGCUACUCCAUUAGCCUGAAGCUUGUUUGACAUAAGUUGACCAAUUAUCUUCGCACUUAUGGUUGCAAAUCGCCCUUGCAAACCAUCGACAGUACACGUGUGUACUUUGUGAAAAGUCCAAACUUUCCAAUAUUCUCCUCCUUCAGGUAACUUCAUUGCAUGCACACUGAACUUGCAUGCCUUGUCCUUGCAACCAACCUCAUAACGAGCUUUACAUGACCUUUUUACUCUUAUCCCAAACUGUUAUUUCAGAGCCAACAUGUGUAAAGCUCGUUUCAACUCGGCUUUUAAGGAAAAUAUCCUUCCUUUGUAUAAGCGAUCAUCGGCACAUGUCGACUCCUCAGUUGUAAUUGUUUGGAAGGAGAACCUUUCUGCACCUGAAAUUACCCACGUACGAGAUAUCCCUGCAUUUUCUCUAUCCUAAUAACUGUCAUGGAGCAAUGUACCAGGGGAAUGAAUCCCGUUCGCAUCAGCGAUGGGGUUAUUGUAUAUGGGGUCAUCACACUGAACAUCUCCUACAUCAACACCUCCAAUAGGUUCUGUUUCGCCUUCAACAUUACUGCAAAUUGGAAUAUCAUUGUCAUAAAGCCAGUCAUCGUCUGAACUCUCAUCAUACCAUUCAUCAGGCCCAUCAUUUGAAUUGUCAUCAAAUCUAUCUUCACUGGUAGGGAACAAAUCCUCAUUUCCCUCAUCAGAUGUAGUAUUAUCCUCGAGCAUCGCAGUGUCACCCUCCAACGUCGUAGUGUUGUCCUCAAGUGUUGCAUUCUCAUUUGAAAAUGCCAUUACAACCUGUACAGUUUCACCCGAUCAUUGCAUUUGUUGGACAGAAGUAACUAAUUGGUUCGAUGCACAUCUUGAUCAAAAUUGUGUAACCAACUAUUCUAUGAAUGUCGUGUGUCUACCGAGCUACACAAAUUCUUGUGCAUAUGUCAAUUGCCAUUGUUGUGGGUUACGAACCGAAUGUUGUGGUAUAUGUGAAGCAUUGUAAAUUUCAUUUUGAUUGAGUUGAUUACCAUGUUGUUCAGCUUCUUCACGUGACAUAACAUUUGUUUGGAGUCCCUUAAUGCUGACAUACACAGCCGGAACAUUCCUCUGUUCUAGCAGAAUUAAUGCAAUAUCCUCAUCGUCCUUGGUAAUUGGCCGUAAUAGCUCUUCUGGUGUACUGAUCAAUGCAUGUAACUCAAUCUCGUCAAUUUCUGAGUUUACCCCAACAACAUCUUCAACCAGCUUCAUCAAUCCCACAAACGACAAAUCACUCUUAACCCCCUGCAUUCGUGACUCACCACCCUUGUAAAUGCCAUCCACCCACUGAUCAUUGUGUCUUAUCACAAGUCACAUAAUUAGAACCCCAUUGAAAUUUUGAAAACAACAAUAAUUUAUUAAUCAUUUAACACAUUACAUGACAUGCCGUGUUCUAAAAUUUGUCAGUCAUGUUGUAACACGCCAUGCAUAUAAUGUAAAAUGUUGAACACGUCAUGCAUAUAACGUAAAAUGUUGUAACACGCCAUGCAUAUAACGUAAAAUGUUGUAACACGCCAACGCCGACACACCAAUCACUAUAAUUAUUGUGUCCUUACACGAACUGGCCUAAAAUACCCAUGACGUGUGACACACCAAUUAGUGUAAUUACUGACUUGUUGCACGAAUUGCCCUUAAAUAACCAAUGUUGUGACACGCUAAAAUAACGCUAACACAUGUUAUAGAUGCAUGGUGUGUAACAACUCUGGGCAAUGUUUCUAAUCUAUGUUCUAAUUUACAGCAAAUGUUUCAAAUUUAAGUGUUGCAGCAAUAAACCCAAUAACAUACCUUAAUGUCAUCUAUGCUAUAGGGUCUGUUAAUCGAUGACAAUAUGACUAGAUGCUGAGAGAUAGACAACAGCCCGAUGACGAUGGUGCUCAAUAGAGAGUUGACAAAGCUCAAAUAGUUCAGAGAGUUGAUGACGAUGGUGUUCACUAGAGAGUUGACGGAGUUGAGACAGUUCAGAGAGCUGAGAGAGAAAGAUGAGCGAGCUCAAACAGCUGAGCAUUUAUUUCUAUUUUCUUUGUGGUAGGAGGGAGAUAUCUGGAGCUUAAUUUCAAACGAUGUUUUUAAAGACAUUUUGGUCUACUCAUACUUUUUUUUAGCUAGAAACAGAUAACUUUAUAUGGGUGGUUUUUUUUGAAAUCACCUUAUCAGGAGGUCCAUUUUGCAUAAUUUCCUCUUAAUCUUAUUAAUUAAAAAUUGUUAGAUGAAUAUUAAGUUUGGUGAAGAACGUAUGCCAAAUCUGAGGCAUUAGCCACAGUGUCCAAGGAUUUGCAAAACAUGGGGUGCUUUAACCAAAUAAAAAGUAAUAAAUUACAUAAAAUGGUUUAUGGUGGCAGAAUCAACGGAAGAAGCACUCCCCAGGUGUCUUAUGACUAAUCUGUUUACUAUAACUAAGUUGAUGUUUUGUAGGGUAUCUUGUACCUGGACCUGCAGAUAUCUAACAGACAGUCAACCAUUUAUUUGUUGGCUCCGUAAUUAUCAAACAAUUAUACAGACCCUCAUUAUGCACUCUCAUGCUGUAAUAUUAACUUUCAGUUAUAAUGUGCUUUUCCACUAUUUUUUUCUUUUUCUUAUUUUUUUAAAAUUUUUGCUGUAAUAAUAUGUUGAAUUUGUCACAUUUUUGGUUAUCUACAGGAUCAGAGUGUUGUGUUUCAUUCAUUACGUUGACUUAUAGCAACUUCAUGUGUGUUUAAAGUAAUUUACUAUCAAGGUAAUUUGUGGGAUGCUUGACUCUUGAUCAUAUUCAGAUUUUACUGAUUUACUAUCGAGGUAAUUGUUAUCACUCACCAAUUAUUUACGGACCCACUAACAUUAUUUAUAUAUUUUUGUCAUGGAGCAAGUAAUAAUUGAUUUCUGUAAAAGUGGGUUCUUGUGAUAGGGAGAGAAAGCGUUGCAAAUAAGUAAAAUGAUGUGCCAGAGGUGGCAGAGAGGAAGAUUGAAGCAGUUCCUGAAGUACUAAGUGCUAUGGCAAAUGGAAGACAAUAAGAAGAGACUUAAAGAGACUUAGAGAGUACAAGAUAAUUAGAGAGAGAAUUUAGAGAGAGAAGCUCUCAAGUUGAGAAUGUGUUAGCUUGGAAGGGGAGAAAAGAGUCCUCCCAAAUGAAUUGUGAGGCUCUAUAUAUAGUGCUAAAAGUGACGGUUACAUAAGAAUAGGCUUUAAUGUGCCUAAUGAAUGACAUUAUUAUGAAAAAUAUUAAUGUAAGUAACCGUUACUGUAAUUGGAUGUAGUAAGACUUGUUCUUAAGUAAAGGUAAUAGAAAAGAGGUGUACAAGAAUAGGUACAAGAGAAUAAGCUGUACGAGAAUAGGUAUAAGAGAAUAAGCUGUACAUGAAUAAGUAUACGAGAACAAGGUAAGAGGGUGAAAAACUUGUACUUCAGGAAAUGGUUAAGAGAAAGACCUCUUAACUACCUCCAUAUCUGAGCCACCAAGCCAAACUCUCUGGAACAUCCUAAGAUGAAAGUAACCCAUGAACCCUGCCACUUAUUCUGAGCUACUUUCACUGUCAUCCAAGUGAAGCGGUUAUUCUAUUCAAAGUGACUGUUCUACUUGUAUUAGUUGUUCCAUAUGAAGUAAUACUUUACUUUUUCUAAUUGUUCUACUUUAAGUAGUACUUGAAGUAGCGCUUCACUUGUUUUAGUUAUUCUGCGUGAAGUAACACUUCACUUGUUCUGAUUGUUCUCUAUACAACAUUAUGUUGUAACAUAAUUCUUUAGAGUAACAGUAUUAACCAAAAUCUAGUAUCUACAAUUUCAUUCACUUUUGACUUUUGAGACAUUUGGCUGAGGGAUUUAUAAGAAAAAAGACAAUAUGAUGAAGUAGAUAUAAUUUGUUUUCAUCCCCUACUGCUAUUCAAAUCAUUUAGACAUUAAUAAAUACAGAAAACUUUCUAAAGCCAAUACAUUAGAGGUUAAGAAUAUUGAAGGAAACUAACAAUGAACUUAUUGCAUUAUAUCAGAUUGGAAUCUAAUAGACAUUAAGAAACCUCACCACUAAAACAGGUUUACUAAACUCGGACUCUAAAUUGGAUUCUUCUUCUUCUUUUGCAAUUUGGAUCUUAUUUGACCAGAUCUUGCAGACCUUCGAUGAAGUUAUUGAUAUAUUCUUCUUGAAGAUCUCUGUUAGAAAGAAUGUUCUUGAGCUUGGCAUGGUUUCUCUUCAACAGACUAGCUGUUUCAUUGUCCUUGUCCAUCACCAACUUGAUGGCUUUGCUCAAGUUCUCCUUGGAAAUCUCCCUGUUUUCUCCUUUCUCAACUUCAACUGCAACCUCGAGUUCCUCUACCAUUAAUCUGGUGUUCAGAAUUUGAUCUCCUAAGCGGGGAAUCAACACAAUUUGGCAGUUACAUAGCAAAGAUUCCCACAUGGUUCCACAACCACAGUGAUUCACAAAACACCCAACAGAUGGAUGGCUGAGUAACAGCUCCUGGGGAACCCAGCCACCAUACACCAACCCUCGUCCUUGGAUCCUUUCUUGAAACCCCUCAGGCAAUGCCUCUUCAAUCCUUGUGCAUCCGUUUGGUGGUGUUAAAGCCACCAAGAAAGGUUGCCCUGAUAACUCAAGCCCAAGAACUAACUCUUGAAACUCCUCCUUUUGCAAUGUAAUCUGGCUUCCAAAUGCACAAAACACCACAGAACUUGGCUCAAAGUUGCUUAGCCAAUUAGCCGAGCUGUGUGGGAUUUGUUUCAGGGAGGCAAGGCCCUGUUAGCAUAACAGGCUUGCCAAAAUGUUGAGCAACAUAGUCACAGAAAGGUCCCUCAAUUUCACGGUGAGCCCUAUAGGCUAUGGCAUCACUGCCAUUCAUGCUAGUUAUUAUCCGGUCCUGAAAUGACAAUCCUAUUCCAAAGAUUUUCCGCGCAAUUGUCAGAACGGAAACCUCUUCAGCUCUGAGUUUCACCUUGGAAGAUGGAUAACCAGGAGGAACUUCUAUCAACUCUUCUACAGUCAUUUCCGUUGUAACUUUCUUUGUCGACGUAUGCGCGUUUGCGGCUGCAGACACCGCGGCAUAGUACAUGGACUUGCUGCCGGUUUGGUGAGCUAAGGCUGGAAUCCAAUGCCUCAAAUCAUAGAAAACCAUAUCAGGCUUUAUAGCCCUUAAAAUGGCUUGAACAUGAUCUCGAGUUUGAUCAAAUGCAAUAGCAAGCAAGCUACCUAGCGGUUGAGGAACAUCGGACAUAGUUUCGGCGCCUGGCGGGAUACCAUCUACAUGGGGAACAACAAGAGGAAAGAAUUGAAUAAGAUUCGGAUAGUGGUUAAGUUGUUCCAACUUUGGCUGUGCUCCUUUAGGCAAUAAGAAGGAAACUUGGAGGCCUUUCUCAGCAAGCUUGUUUGAGAGGUGAAGAUAAGGGAUGAAAUGGCCAAAGGCAAACCAAGGAAACAUGGCUACCUGAAGCUUGGUGGAGUUGGAGUUUCUCAUCUUUGUUUGAGAUUCUGCCUAAAAAUCGAGGAAGAAUGAAAGAAGACGUAUGUGUCUACCAUCCAAAUUAUUUAAGACCCUCCUUCACAUCUAUAAACAGCAGUGAUACGGAUAUCAAUAAUUGAGGGAAGAUUUACGAUCCAAAAGCAAUCGUACGGAUACAAUGGUUUUCUUUCUUUUCUUUUUUUAAGAAAAAGCAAAAAAAACCAAAUAAGUUUUUAUAUUUUUGUUGUAUUUAAUUAAGUUUUUACCUUUUAUAUUUAGAUGGCUUUUAAUUAUUCUAUGGGUUUGGCACGUUUAUGAGUUAGACGUCUAAGUCUGCUUGUGGGUCGACUCUUACUGUCAAUGUUGCGACCAUUCCUCCAUCGAAUCUCGAGGAGAUGAGGGAUAUGAAGAAAGAAGUCAUGACUGUGAGAGAUGAGAUAUGGAAUAUGAAAUCAUAUCAAGUAUUGCACAGAUCCUCCAACAUGUGAAGUCCACAGCCCACUUUGAGACUUCAUCACAGCAGUGGGGCCCUUUUAAUAAUUAAGAGGCGAGACUGAGACAACGGCACUAGUUAGAAUGUAAGUUUAUUUAUUUAUAUAUUUUUUAUUGAUUGUAAUAUCAAAUAUUAUAAUUUGUCAUUUUUUAUUUAUUUUUAUAAAAAUCAAAUAUUUUUUAUAAAUAAUAUUUUUUUAAUAUUAUUAUUUAUUUGUAUUUGUAUUAUUCAUUUGAAAUGAUAACAAGAAUGAACAAAACCAAUCAAUUUCAAUUUUCCUAGGAAAAAAUGGUUUCAUAUAUAUUCCACUUUAUUACUAAUGGAUUUACCAAUUGAUAUAGUAGUUUACUGCUGGAAAUAUGUAUAACGUUAGUGACAGAAUAAACUUCACCACUGAUGGAAAUGAAGACAUCAUCGACAAAAACUACAUACAUUUGAACUACUAAGUUUCGUCAGCAUUUUUGUUGAAAUUUCUGUCAGUAAAUUACCGACAAAAUUUGCCAACGAAAUACGAUCAAUAUAGACCAAUCAUCCCUUCAACAGGUUGGAUGUUUUACUGAUUGGGUUUUCGACAAAAUAUUCAAAUAUUGAUGGCAUGCCCUUUACCGGUGAUGAUAUUUUCCACAAAUUUUGAACCUUUGUCAAUGGAAAUUUUUGUUAGUAAAAGUGUUAAAUUUGGUAGUAGACUAACUAUCAUUAGUCCAAAUGUUACUUGAUAUUUCAUGCCACAUGAUGUUAACAUAACAUGUUAACAUGUCAUAAUAGAUGGUCAUAUGAUAUACUGAAAUAACAUAAUGAUAUGGUUAUGUGGUAUUUUUCAUGCUCCAAGUCAAUGCCAUAUGAGUAUAAAAAUUUUAAAAUGAUAUUUUGAUUAAUCGCAGUUAGUCAAUCAUUAAUCAUAAAGGUAUAUUUGAAUUAAAAUAAAAUUAAGAGAAUUUGAUUUAACGUAAUAAAAAAAUAAAAAUUUAUUUAAAAUUUUUUAAUAAUUUAAGAUUUAUUGCUAUUUGGGUUUAGAUCAUAUUAGAGUAUAGUUGGGUAAUAAUUUAUUGCAAUUUGCAAGAGAAAUCUUUCAUUACAAUUUGAGGGAAUCUUGACUUUUGAUCAUAUUCAGAUUUUGUUAUCAAGGAAAAUCUAUCACGCACCAAUUAUUUGAGAAACCACUAACUUUGUUUAUUUAUUUAUUGUAUGGAGCAAUUAGCAAUGAAUUCAUGCACUUAUGGACUUUUGAGGGAUUGGAUGAGGUGAGAUUCAUAAAGAAAAAUGAGAAUAUGAUGGAGUAGAUUUAAUUUGUUUUUCAUCACCUACCGCUAUUCAAAUCAUCUAGAGCCAAGACAUUAGAGGUAAAGAAUAUUGAAGGAAACUUAUUGUAUUAUAUAUGUCAGAUUGGGAUCUGACGAACAUUAAGAAAGCUAGGCACAAAAACCGGUAAAACAGGUUUACUAAACUCGGAUUCUAAAUUGGAUUCGUCUUCUUUUUUAGCAAUUUGGAUCUUAUUUGACCAGAUCUUGCAGACCUUUGAUGAAGGUAUUGAUAUAUUCUUCUUGAAGAUCUUUGUUAGAAAGAAUGUUCUUGAGCUUGGCAUGGUUUCUCUUCAACAGACCAGCUAUUUCAUUGUCCUUGUCCAUCACCAACUUGAUGGCUUUGCUCAAGUUCUCCUUGGAAAUCUCCCUGUUUUCUCCUUUCUGAACUUCAACUGCGACCUCGAGUUCCUCUACCAUUAGUCUGGUGUUCAGAAUUUGAUCUCCUAAGCGGGGAAUCAACACAAUUUGGCAGUCACUGAGCAAAGAUUCCCACAUGGUUCCAUAACCACAGUGAUUCACGAAACACCCAACAGAUGAAUGGCUGAGUAAUAGCUCCUGGGGAACCCAACCACCAUACACCAACCCUCUUCCUUGGAUCCUUUCAUGAAACCCCUCAGGCAAAGCCUCUUCAAUCGUUAUGCAUCCGUCUGGUGGUGUUAAAGCCACCAAGAAAGGUUGCCCUGAUAACUCAAGCCCAAGAACCAACUCUUGAAACUCCCCCUUUUGCAAUGCAAUCUGGCUUCCAAAUGAACAAAACACCACAGAACUUGGCUCAAAGUUGCUUAGCCAAUUAGCCCAUUUGUCUUCAAGCUGUGUGGCAUUUGUUUCAGGUAGGGAAGGCCCUGUUAACAUAACAGGCUUGCCAGAAUGUUGAGCAAUAUAGUCACAGAAAGGUCCUUCAAUUUCACGGUAAGUCCUAAAGGCUAUGACAUCACUGUCUUUCAUGGCAGUUAUUAUCCGGUCCUGAAAUGACAAUCCUAU